AAAUAGCGGGAGAGAAAUAGUUUAUUUAUUCACCGAAGAGGUAAAAGCUUUCAGGUAAAAGGACCGUUAUUG
RNAcentral lists this non-coding RNA (72 nucleotides) under uncultured Clostridium sp. RNAcentral's name for it is "Glycine riboswitch". It matches the Rfam family "Glycine riboswitch aptamer". Rfam says of the family: This family represents the bacterial glycine riboswitch. Glycine riboswitches usually consist of two metabolite-binding aptamers domains with similar structures in tandem. Lineage: Bacteria; Bacillati; Bacillota; Clostridia; Eubacteriales; Clostridiaceae. The record is from RNAcentral.